CAAGUCGAGGGGCAUGCGGUAGCAAUACUGGCGGCGACCGGCAAACGGGUGCGGAACACGUACAGAACCUACCUUUAUCUGGGGCAUAGCCCGGAGAAAUCCGGAUUAACUCCCCAUAAUAUGACUGGGUGGCAUCACUUGGUUAUUAAAAAUUUAUUGGAUAGAGAUGGCUGUGCGUCCCAUUAGCUAGUUGGUAGGGUAACGGCCUACCAAGGCGACGAUGGGUAGCUGGUGUGAGAGCACGACCAGCCACACGGGCACUGAGACACGGGCCCGACUCCUACGGGAGGCAGCAGUGAGGAAUAUUGGUCAAUGGGCGCAAGCCUGAACCAGCCAUGCCGCGUGAAGGAUGAAGGCCUUCUGGGUUGUAAACUUCUUUUACAGGGGAAGAAAACUAUGGUUUCUACUAUAGCCGACGGUACCCUGGGAAUAAGCACCGGCUAACUCCGUGCCAGCAGCUGCGGU
RNAcentral lists this ribosomal RNA (465 nucleotides) under uncultured bacterium. RNAcentral's name for it is "bacterial SSU rRNA". It matches the Rfam family "Bacterial small subunit ribosomal RNA", at positions 58 to 521 of the family's 1533-position model. The record is from RNAcentral.